GAUUUCUGACGGACCGACGUGGCCCGUUCCCGUCUCGGGGAUGAGUGCCGUGCCGAGUCUGUCAUCCUUCCAGAGAGCUGCGCCUACCGUUUAUUCGGCCGGGCGUAUGUGAUCUGGAUCUAUUACUUUGAAAAAAUUAGAGUGUUUAAAGCAGGCUUACGCUAUGAAUACAUUAGCAUGGAAUAAUAAUAUAGGACUUUGGUUCUAUUUUGUUGGUUUCUAGGACUGAAGUAAUGAUUGAUAGGGAUAGUUGGGGGUGCUAGUAUUCAGUGGCCAGAGGUGAAAUUCUUGGAUUCACUGAAGACUAACUACUGCGAAAGCAUU
Molecule: ribosomal RNA, 324 nt
Filed under: Euglypha sp. (in: cercozoans)
Lineage: Eukaryota; Cercozoa; Imbricatea; Euglyphida; Euglyphidae
Description: SSU rRNA
Rfam family: Eukaryotic small subunit ribosomal RNA (bases 114-324)
Source: RNAcentral